Molecule: ribosomal RNA, 373 nt
Filed under: uncultured organism
Description: partial 16S ribosomal RNA
Rfam family: Bacterial small subunit ribosomal RNA
Source: RNAcentral
GUAGGUGGCAAGCGUUGUCCGGAAUUAUUGGGCGUAAAGCGCGCGCAGGCGGUUUUUAAAGUCUGAUGUGAAAGCCCACGGCUCAACCGUGGAGGGUCAUUGGAAACUGGAGAACUUGAGUACAGAAGAGGAAAGCGGAAUUCCACGUGUAGCGGUGAAAUGCGUAGUGAUGUGGAGGAACACCAGUGGCGAAGGCGGCUUUCUGGUCUGUAACUGACGCUGAGGCGCGAAAGCGUGGGGAGCAAACAGGGAUUAGAUACCCUGGUAGUCCACGCCGUAAACGAUGAGUGCUAAGUGUUAGGGGGGUUUCCGCCCCCUUAGUGCUGCAGCUAACGCAUUAAGCACUCCGCCUGGGGAUACGGCCGCAAGGCUG